UAGUCCACGCCGUAAACGAUGAUUACUCGUUAUUGGCGAUAUACAGUCAGUGACUAAGCGAAAGUGAUAAGUAAUCCACCUGGGGAGUACGAUCGCAAGGUUGAAACUCAAAGGAAUUGACGGGGGCCCGCACAAGCGGUGGAGCAUGUGGUUUAAUUCGAUGAUACGCGAAGAACCUUACCUAGGCUCUAAUUCUAUUUGACAGGUCCCGAAAAGGAUUUUUUCUUCGGAACAAAUAGGAAGGUGCUGCAUGGUUGUCGUCAGCUCGUGCCGUGAGGUGUUGGGUUAAGUCCCGCAACGAGCGCAACCCUUAUCUUUAGUUGCCAGCAUGUAAUGAUGGGGACUCUAAAGAGACUGCCUCCGUAAGGAGUGAGGAAGGUGGGGGAUGACGUCAAAUCAUCAUGGCCUUUAUGCCCAGGGCUACACACGUGCUACAAUGGCCAGUACAGAGGGUCGCGAAACCGUGAGGUGGAGCCAAUCUCAGAAAGCUGGUCUUAGUUCGGAUCGAAGUCUGGAA
Molecule: ribosomal RNA, 517 nt
Filed under: uncultured bacterium
Lineage: Bacteria
Description: bacterial SSU rRNA
Rfam family: Bacterial small subunit ribosomal RNA
Source: RNAcentral